UUCAUCGUCAUCGCUAUCAGUGAAGAACAAAUGCUAAAUAUCUUGGGGAAGAAUAAAUGUUAGAGAUCCUUGUUUCAUUGAGCUUGAGAAAGAUAAAAUAUUGGAUGCAAUAUAUUAUUUAUGGCUUUUGCAUUCAUUUGUUUCUAAUAUAAAAUAAAACAAAAAAGGUUAGCUAAAUAAAAUACAUAUUUAAUUAUAUUAUUAUUUAAGAACACAUACCUUAA
RNAcentral lists this long non-coding RNA (224 nucleotides) under Lathyrus oleraceus (garden pea). Its description in RNAcentral is "Pisum sativum (pea) long non-coding RNA (PSAT_LNC000075)". Lineage: Eukaryota; Viridiplantae; Streptophyta; Magnoliopsida; Fabales; Fabaceae. The record is from RNAcentral.